AUAGAUCUUAAUAUAUUUAGUAAUUAAUUGAGUUAAAACUUAAUUUUUGAUUAUUAUGAAAUUUAUUUAAUUGGGGUGAUUAAGAGAUAAAUGGAACUCUUUCUAAAUUUUAAUGAUAUAAUUAGUUGUAUGAUCCACAAAUAGUGAUUAUAAGAUUAAAUUACCUUAGGGAUAACAGCAUAAUUCUUUUUGAGAGUUCAUAUUGAAAAAAGAGAUUGUGACCUCGAUGUUGGAUUAAGAUUAGUUAUGGGUGUAGAUGUUCAAUAACUAGGUCUGUUCGACCUUAAAAUUCUUACA
This 297-nucleotide ribosomal RNA is filed under the name Vates chopardi. Its description in RNAcentral is "partial 16S ribosomal RNA". The stretch from base 171 to 297 matches the Rfam family "Bacterial large subunit ribosomal RNA", at positions 2473 to 2600 of the family's 2925-position model. Lineage: Eukaryota; Metazoa; Arthropoda; Insecta; Mantodea; Mantidae. The record is from RNAcentral.